Sinocyclocheilus anshuiensis is the source of this 1457-nucleotide RNA transcript. It is a transcript of the gene named mitotic spindle assembly checkpoint protein MAD2B-like, with no coding region annotated. The transcript has 9 exons. The record is from RefSeq and is a predicted model, not a curated record. NCBI's taxonomy places the organism in Eukaryota, Metazoa, Chordata, Actinopteri, Cypriniformes, Cyprinidae.
CUUGCAGAUUACAGAAGAAAAGUGUAAACAUCCUUCGAGCAUCGUUUGAUUAAAUGUUUGUUUAUUUACUGUUUAUUUGUGGAUGACAGACAUUUUACCAAUAAUCGGACUGAGUGUAUUACCGUAAUAGUUUUCGUUUUUACGUUUUUUUUUUCUGAAUACAACACUCUUAUCACACGUAUUCUGGAGCAACUAUAUGCAUGAUCGCUGAUAUUUUAUAAACGAGAAGCUCCUCUUUUCAUUAAAGGUUGUUGCAUAUAUUUUGGCUACUUCAGUAUGGCCGCUCUGACGAGGCAGGACCUUAAUUUUGGCCAAGUUGCUGCUGACAUUCUGUGUGAGUUUUUGGAAGUGGCCAUUCACCUCAUCCUAUAUGUCAGAGAGAUUUAUCCAUCUGGUAUUUUUCAGAAAAGGAAGAAAUACAACGUACCUGUGCAGAUGUCAUGUCAUCCUGAGUUAAACCAGUACAUUCAAGACACACUGCAUUGUGUCAAGCCACUGAUAGAGAAGAAUGAGGCUGAGAAGGUUGUAGUGGUGAUCAUGGAUAAAGAGCACCAUCCAGUGGAGAGAUUUGUGUUUGAGAUCUCACAGCCUCCACUGCUGUCCAUCAGCUCAGAGACUCUGCUGUCUCAUGUGGAGCAGCUGCUGAGAGCGAUGAUCUUAAAAAUCAGCGUAUGUGAUGCUGUUCUAGACAACAAUCCUUCAGGAUGCACAUUCACAGUGCUGGUACACACCAGGGAAGCUGCCACAAGAAACAUGGAGAAAGUUCAGGUCAUCAAGGAUUUUCCAUGGAUUGUAGCAGAUGAGCAGGAAGUUCACAUGGAAGAGGCAAAACUCAUUCCUCUCAAGACGAUGACUUCUGAUAUUCUCAAGAUGCAGCUCUAUGUAGAAGAAAGAACACAGAAAACUUGAUGCUCUGCAAACACAUGAAAGCAUCUGCAGGUGUUUACAACAGGAAGCACCUUUUUUUAAGUUAACAACAGACUUAUUUAUAAGUUACAUUAGGAUAACAUAGCAGAAGUAUAUUGAACUGGACUGUUCAUUUUAUUAACAAACUCAAUGGUCCACUGAGAAAUCAAAUGCAUGGGAUUUUCCAAAGGAAAUUGGGACUGGAUUUUUUUUAAACAUUGACAACAGGAAUGUUUAAAUCAUUGGUAAUAUGAGGAAAGUUCGAGCUGGAUUGUGUCUUAAGAAGUAAGUAACUAUUGUUUUGCCUCUGUUUCAUUUUGAUAGUUUUUUCUCAGUAUUUAUCACUGUGCUGAAAUUGUCCUUGUUUUAAUACAAUUUUAUGACUGCUCCAUAUUAACAAAGUGAGAAUGGAUGUAGUUGGGAAGCACACAAAGAAAGUUCAAAGAUUACACAUUAAAAACAGCUUUUACAUUACAUUAGAUUCAAACUAUGUUCUUUAGACACUAAGCUUUUUGUCAACAUUCUAUUUAAAAGGAUAGGGAUAGAAAUGU